CACGUAGGGUGCGAGCGUUGUCCGGAAUUAUUGGGCGUAAAGAGCUCGUAGGCGGUGUGUCGCGUCGGCCGUGAAAACCUGCAGCUUAACUGUGGGCUUGCGGUCGAUACGGGCAUCACUGGAGUUCGGCAGGGGAGACUGGAAUUCCUGGUGUAGCGGUGAAAUGCGCAGAUAUCAGGAGGAACACCGGUGGCGAAGGCGGGUCUCUGGGCAGUAACUGACGCUGAGACGCGAAAGCGUGGGGAGCGAACAGG
This 254-nucleotide ribosomal RNA is filed under the name uncultured bacterium. RNAcentral's name for it is "partial 16S ribosomal RNA". It matches the Rfam family "Bacterial small subunit ribosomal RNA", at positions 524 to 776 of the family's 1533-position model. The record is from RNAcentral.